Molecule: long non-coding RNA, 1309 nt
Filed under: Mus musculus (house mouse)
Lineage: Eukaryota; Metazoa; Chordata; Mammalia; Rodentia; Muridae
Description: long non-coding RNA chr17:13897110-13898419
Source: RNAcentral
AAAAAAAUUUCGAGGAAGUUCUUUUUAAUGAAAGCAAUGAUUUGAUCACAAGACAAUCUAAGAGUAUGAUUGAUAGACAUGAUGUGGCUCAUUUAAAUGGACGGUGUAAGGCCACACACUUGCAUCUGAAACAACGUCUCUGUUACAGCAGAGUAGUUUCGGAGACUUUGAGUUUUAAGAUCAGUUUACCCACAAGUCUUUAGCAUGUGUAAUGUUAGUGGAAACUGAUGUCUGCAGGAAGUCAGGAAGUACCCAAUACAGGAGCCAUGCAGGUUUUAAAUUAUGGUGGUCUUGCUUUGCUGUUUAUUCUGAGAGUCCUCAGGCUGCAGAGCGAGAUGCUUUCCCAGGUUAGGGCUGGCCAGGUACUGGGAUGAAGCACCCUGGUCAUUGCAUCAGAGUUGUAUGCCCAGAGAGAAGCAGGCUGUGAUUCCUGUGUUGAGAAACUCUCCGUUAUUUAAUCUUUCCAGUAUGUGUUUUCAUAAGUCAUAAUUAUGUCAAAUACCCUUGUGUUUUAGUAACUGUCUCUAUAAUUUAGUAGUCAAUGUAAAAAAGAAACUGAAAUACUAUUUUUACUAUAGAAUGUCCACAAUUAAUGACUUUGAUCUGUUAUGGAAUAUGUGCAUUCAUUUUCUGGAUAAAGUCACCAUGGUCAUUUCAUUGUAUCUGCUCUUGGUGUAACUGAACAAGGUUGGUUUGGUCUUUCCCUACAGGGUUAUUCAAGCAUCUGUUCUUCGUGUAAUUUUAACAUUCUUGGUAGUGCCACUAAAAAGCCACUGAAGUCAUCAUAGUUUAAUUACCCAACCUAAGAUAAUACUGAUAUUGUAUAGUCAAGAACAUAAAAAUUCUUUCCUUUAGGAUUUUACAACAUAAAAGAAGAAGUAAAGCGGAAGUUGGGGCCAGGGUAAUGAGCAGGGCAGCCUUUAGUCUUCCCCUUUCUCUCACAGAAUAUGAAGCAGGGAGCACUGUGUGUUCACUGUGUGUGCUUGUGCUAUAGGGACACAGGGAAAAUGUGGCAUAGUAGAGGCCAACAAACAUGAUGUCAGCAUGGUCCCUGGUGUCAGUUCUCUAUGGUUGGUUGAAUUCAAUCCUGGCUGCCCUUGAACGUUUGCUUAAGUCAAGGCAGAUUGUCAUGUUUUCUCUUUCGUCCCUUUUCAUAUUUACCUCCUUCUUGUGGUCUAAAUCUCUUGUCAAUCCUUAACAAAACUGUGUUGUUGCCUUUUUUUAAAUGUAAAAAGAAUUUCAAUACUGUCAACUGUAGUUUGCCUGAAUGAAAAUGUACAGUGUGUGUCAGAAUAUAUCUGCUAACACU